Molecule: long non-coding RNA, 6053 nt
Organism: Cavia porcellus (domestic guinea pig)
Lineage: Eukaryota; Metazoa; Chordata; Mammalia; Rodentia; Caviidae
Exons: 4
Source: RefSeq, a predicted model, not a curated record
UGGUGGGGGAGACUUGAAACCGCUCAGGCGCUCCGAUUGGCUCGCUUGGAGAAAAGGGGCGUGGCCUUUCCUUACUAUGCGGUGCCAGGACCCAACAACAUUCCAAUCACCACGGCCACGCCUCCGGACCACUCCCCCCCUCGCAUGUCUGCAGCCUCCCAGUCUCCUCGGCCACACCCCCUUCCCAACUAUUUAAAAAGGCCACUCCGAAGCUCACGUUUUUCUCGCUUGGUGCUUGGGUGUUUUUGUCGCUGUUCUAGGAGAGCGGUCUAGUUCCGCCCUUUGGGUAACCUGGGCAACCUGGGCGAGCCGAGAAGCUUAAAGUGGAUUGGGCGGUGCUCAGGGCAGUUAUUGGCUUGCUGCUUGGCCGUACUUAAGAUGCACUGAUUCACAGGAAAGAGUACAACCAUGGAAUCCUGAAAGGGCUUUGGGGAGAAGAGACGACCUAGGACUCCAGUGUCAAAGCUAGAACUGACCUCGGGACUGUGAUCUCCACAGUUCAAAUGAGACACACACCGGAGAAACAAGGCUUUACUGAGCCACUCAUUUUAUUCUUAUUCUGGCACCCCCCCCCCAAGCCCAUCCUCAGUCAGCUGGCUAGAAGUCUCUCAAACUAACAUUUCAGUUCGGUGGACUUGGGCUGCCCUCUGCUUGCCCUUUAGGGCCCCAUGGUGCCCUACCAGGGGACCCUCUUGGACUUUAAACUCAAAUUCCCUGCUUUAGGUUGUAGGUAAGGGAUUUCCACAAGGUGCUAGCUCCAGAAAGGCAGGUUCCGUCUCAGUAGCAGUGCUUUUUAGUGAUCUGUAUCUGCCUUGGGAGGAAGAGACCUGUUUAGGUCAAGAUUGGCAGGACUGGUGUAGGGUGAAUGCAAGAGAUGCUUUCUGAGCUGCUUACAAGACGGAUAUGCUACAACUCAGUGGAACUCACUCUACCAAGGAAAGGGCUUCCAGAAAAAACGAGGAGGAUUUGUCUGGGCCUUAGAGGAUGGGGCCAGCUAGCGGGCCUUCUGCUGUACUUCCCAUUGCCCAGCAUGCAUCAGGUCUUAGUGGUAUUCAGAGGACAAGUCAGUCAAAACUUGUCAGGUCCUUUCAGGGUGUCACAUAGGUGCCUGUGUGCCUUCACAGUACUUGUGCUUGCCUCUUCUGCUGUUCUGCACACACAAAACCUUUUUAUAUAACACCAUUUUAAUGGAAAUGCUGUUUUUUUAAAAAAACGAAAGUGGCUCUUACAGAAGAUCUGAAUGAUGCUUAUGUAACUUUAAACACUGAGUUUGGGUAGAUCCUAAUUCAUUAACAGAGAAAAAAGAAGUUCUGACAUAUGUACCUCCCACCAUGAAAAGAACAGGAUCUUCAAGAUAAAUAUUCAGUAGUCAGGUUGCUAGGAAGCCCUUCUGGCCCUGCCCCUGCUCUCCUGCAAGGUAGGUCUGUUGCAGCAGGAGCAGAGACCAGCUGAGGAGGCCCUGGUAUCACUGCAGUGGUCCGUAGAACAGUUUCACCUCUCCACUUUCAUUUCCUCAUCAGAGACACUCCAUUCCCUAUUAGCUUUGCAAAAAUCAUAUACAUUGUCUCAUUUGGAUGUCUCACUUUUUUUUUUUUUUUUUUUUUUUUUGGUCUUUUUUCCUUUUUAUCGGUACCGGGGAUCGAACUCGAUGUUCAAACACGACUGGAUGUCUCACUUCUUUGAGGUUAACAGAGCAGAGCAGAGAUUAUGCCCAUUGUGUAGACAAACAUUCUGGAAAUAACUGACUCAUCUGAGGUCUCCCUUCUGAGAAAAAAAUCAGAACUAGGGCUUUUUUUUUUUCUUUUUGAAACAGGGUCUCGCUAUGCAGUUCAGGCUGGCUUUGAGCUUGCUUUAUAGCCCAGGCUGGUUUCCAAUUUGUAGUAAUCCUCCUGCCUUGGCCUCCAAAGUGCUAGGAUUACAGGCAUGCACCACUACAACUGGCGUUAGGGUUUGUCUUUAGAUUUGAAUUCCUAACACUUUACCAUAGUUCUCUUUUUAUCUAUAGGAUGAAGAAGAUUCUAGAAUCAGGUCAUUAUCUUUUCUUCCUGAGAAGUCUGACUUGCACCAUCUCCUCUUGGAAUCCCUCCUGGAUGCUUAUUCUCAUAUGAGGGCUUUAUAGUGCCCUAUAUACACUCACAGGGCACUUACUACAUUGUCUAGGAAUGGUUUGUCUGUUGGCUUCCCAACUAGAAGGCAUAUUGAAAUACUGUCCUCUUCAUUACUGAAUUUUUGGGGGACCUUCUGGCUUAGUGCCUGACAGAGAAAGGGCACAUUUUAUGAAUUUGCUCUGUCCAUCUUGACUUUAGGUCUUAUCCAAGUUUCUUUUGUCCAGGGGUUCAGUGGCCCAUGGCAAGAAACACAUUUUGUGAGAUAUUGGAAACAAAAGUUUCAUGGAGGAGCGUUUAUCUUUGCUAAGUGCACACACUUUGAUAAUUUCUGUUGCAGGUACUGCAUAUUCUAUUUCAUUUUCAAAGAUGCUCUUUAAGUAGAGAUUUUAUGACCCACCUCUGGGUUAUGACCCAGUAUUAGAACAACACUACUUUCACCUCCUGUGUGCUUACCUCCUUUCAUUGGGUAGGAAUCCAGUUGUUUCUGAAAGAUGCAAAGAGAUGACCCUCAAGCACCUCUUGCUCUGUCAAAGAAAUGUUCAUGUCUAACAGAAAGAAAUCCUUCCCAGGCCACAGGCACAUGGGUGUAAACAGAUCCCAGCAGGAGGGGUGAAUGAGGGAGAUGUGUAUAAGGGGAAUCUUUCCAGAGGUUGAUAAGGACCUCUGUGCCCCAGAGACUACAGAAGUUAGUGGUAAUUUUAUCGAACCGUAAAACCCCAAAAUGCAAGGUUUGGAUUCUUGGUGUCUGGGCUUCUCGAUGCUCUGUCUCCAGACUGCUGGGAAUAGGUCUCCAAUCUUAAAAGCUCUCUGGGAUCUCAGUGGGCCUCUUUCCUACAAUUAAGGUGGUGAGGGAGGUAGAUGCAAGUGGCCAUUCUAACUUCUGCCCACAACAGCCUCAUGCAUAGGCUUCUGCCUACAGGUCCAAAGCCCAUUGCUUCCUGUGUAACUUUAGGUGGCCCAUAUAAUUUGGUUCAAAGAUGAUGGCCUAAAAGCCUUCCCAAAGACCCACUGGCUAUCCUGGUCACCCACCUGCUCCAUCCUUUGCCCUUAGUCUCUCUGAAAGGUUAGUGAGAAGCAACUUGGAAACAGCAGCACUGUCUGCCCCCGCUAGCUGGACCAGGGACAGUAGAGGUGGGGCUAACUUGGAGUGACCAUCCUGUUGAUCUCCCAUGGCUAUUGAAGUCAGACUGGGUGUUCCUGAGCUGAAGCUGGGGAAAGGGAAAUGGAGCUGGAGGAACUUCCUCUAGGAGACAUGCACGCCUUCCCUGGACCCUGCCCUUUCCCCCACAGACAGUAAGGAGUAAACAGAGUAGUCCUUCCUGAAUCACUCAAAUGUUAUUUUGUUUAAUUUUUAUUUUUACAAAUGGAACACAUUUAUUUUCUUGGUUUCCUGAUUGUCCCUGCGGUCUGGUUCCAUUCUGUUUUAUAACUGGGAAGGUGUGGUCUUGCUACCAGGUCUUCCAGAGCUGUGUGUCAUCCUGUCACAAGGCUUGUGCAGUGCAGUCCUGGCAUCCCUUUGGCUAAGGCUUUUGCUAUAUUGCUCACCUGGCCUUGAACUUGUGAUCCUCCUGCUUCAGCAUCCGAGAGUGCUGGGAUAACAGGCGUGUACCACCAUUCCUGGCUUUUUUAUAGAGCCUAGAAAACCUUGCAGGGGCUCUAGAUGAUGUAUUCUACAAGGUGCAAGGAGGAGGUCAUCUGUCAGGAGGAAGGGGCGAGGGGCGGAGAAGAGUUUCCAGAACUUGGAAAGCCACGGAAGAAAUUUGACUGGAAGGUCCUGUAAAGAGGAGAAGUGCUGGUGAGACUUACUGGGCAGCACUGGUUAUGUAGCUUGAGGUAGCCUAAGCCCUGAGCCUCACAUACUGUUCUUGAGGUCCUAGGACUGUUCCCACCUGAGUCUGGUUGGUCAUUCCAUCUGAUCUAACGGAUGUGUGAUGACAUCUCUCCUGCUGACAAAUGCUGCUGCUCUCGUCCUUACUGCUCAGCCCAAGAAUGUCAAUCAGCCAGGGCUGUGUGGUCACAGGCCACAGAAACCAGCUCUGGCUAACUGGCAGAAAAACAAUUUAUUAGAAAGUUAUUGGAUACUUCAUAGAUUCACCAGCCACUUCCUAUCCUGAGUGUGUGCACACUUGCAUGUGCAUUUGCACAUUGGCAAAGCCUUGAUUCUGUCCUGACAUUUACCCGCCCUGUACCCAGGAAAGGAGACUGCUUCCUAAGCCACAGAGAAUGAAUGCUGAUGAAUCUCAGCCACUGGGGUGCUUCCUGCCACAUUAGUGAUCAGGCAUAGGCACAUGAUGCAGCCCUGGCCAAAGAGACAUAAGGGGAAGCCCAGAAGACCAAGGAUUUUGGAAAGAAUCACAGAGAAGCUGACUCAGAGCCUUGCUUUUAUUGAAGGUGGAACUAACCCUCUCUAUGAAGAAAAUAAAAUGAUAGACUUGCUCAUUUGUUUGAGCUGGAGGUUCUGACAUAAAUGCCAGCUAUCCUGUUCCUCCAUAGCUGUUGGGGUGAACAGAGGAAAGUAAGAUGAUGGAUACAGGGUAGGAACAAUAAAAGAGUUUACAAAAUAAAGGAGGGUGACUAUUUUUGCAGACAGAAGAAUUACCUAGUAGGAAAGAGUUGACUGAAAAUGCUAGAAGAAAGAGACUAGCUGGGGCAGAAGACCUCCACCUAGUUGGUGGACACUGCAUACCAGUCACCAUGAAAGGGCCUGGGAUGUAGGAUGAAUGGAAAGUCAAGUCUCUGCUCUUAGGAAACUUUCUGCCGGGGUGAGGCAGGGAGGCCAGGAACAUGUGCCAAGUGCUUGGUGCCUUUGUCUCCCCAUGCCCAUCCAGUUCCAGCCUGGUUCCCUUAACAGUUCAGACAAUCAGUUGACACUUCUCCUUGUCCUUUUUUCUGUCUUUUUGAGUCAGGAUUUCACUGUGCAGUUCAGGCUGCCCUUGAACUUACUUAUAGGCCAGGCUGGCCUCAAACUCGAGACAGUUCUCCUGCCUCAGACUCCCAAGUGCUGGGAUUACAGGGGUAAUCCUUUUUAAAAAUUUUUUUUGGUGGGUACCAGGGAUUGGUACCCAUCAUGCUUGCCAGGCAGGGGCUGCACCCCUGAGCUAUAUUCCUGAUACCCCAGUUGACAAUUUUGAAGUCUUUGCUUGUAUUUGUGUGGGUGACAGAGAAACAGUCAGUGGCUUCAAGGAACUAUUUAGUUAAGGUUUCAUGACACUGAAUCUGAAACAGGUUGUCAGCAAGACAAGGACACAGCAGAGUUACAGACCCCAUAAUGUGAGAGAUUAGGGCCUGAGCAAACUGACAGCCAACUGGAUGGAAUGUGUCAGGGGUCAUAAAAAUCCACACCUAAGAGGUUGACCAAGGUAUUUUCUAAAAAGAAAAUGUACACAACCUUGGACCCAAAAUAUCUGUAGGCUUAGAGCUACUGAGCUCUAUACACGGGACCAAUCAGAAAGCAGUAUUCUUGGGUUGGGUGGCGGGUUUAGCUCAGCAGCGCAAGUGCCUGCCAGGUAAGCACCAGAUUGUGAGUCUCAUUCCCACUACCAAAAAAAAAAAAAAAAAGAAAAGAAAGCAGAAAGCGGUAUUCUCAAUCCUUCAUUUGAAUUUGGUUGUUUUACAGGACCAAUUAGAAGAUGUUAUUCUCAGUUCUUUAUUUACAGUUAGGCAUGAGCAAUCAAAAGACACCAUUUCUGAUCCUUCAUUUACAUCUAGUGAGAGGCCAAGCAAGUUUUUGAUAGGACAAUUUAUAUCUUGUGUGAGAACGAAUGAGUUUUCCACAGGGCAAUUGUCCCCAGAGCCAUAUUUGCAUCGGGUGAAGGCCAGUCCAGGUAUUUUGGAUACUUUCCCUUUAGGCUUGGAGCCACAAUAAGCCCUUUUCACUGGCCUGCUGUUGCCCUGUAGAAUAUACUUCUUUUUAGCCUUGAAUAAAACUAUACCCUCUCUGCCUUC